RNAcentral lists this long non-coding RNA (2826 nucleotides) under Capsicum annuum. RNAcentral's name for it is "long non-coding RNA (CANN_LNC018738)". Lineage: Eukaryota; Viridiplantae; Streptophyta; Magnoliopsida; Solanales; Solanaceae. The record is from RNAcentral.
CAUGUUUUUCCUCUUUCCUUCAAGAACCAGUACAAUAGCAAAGACCCAUUUCAACACCUACAACUCUCCUCAACCUGAACUUUGAUCUGAAUCGCGACAACAACAUCAUGAACCAUUGAUCCAUGUCCAACGAUGAUACCUGACCCCAUCCCAUUCCUUUUUCACUGUUGUCACGCGUUUCGCGCAUUCGUAGGACAGGAAACUCCUUGAACGCUCUAGAACAAGCCAAGGUAUCUCUCCCAACGGCUCAAAUCCACAAAUUUUGGGAUAACUCAUACGGAUUCAUACAUAUUUGGUAAAUUUUCAUUGGUUUUUGGGUACAUUUUUGUCUUUCCCACAUUUGAUUGGUCCACUGGUUUCGGAUUUGUGGAAAGAAAAUCCAAAUUGGUUACGACCCAGGGAGGCUAGGGGUUUUAAAUUUCAAAUUCCCUCUGAAAAUCCCUAAAAUCUCCCCCAAUUCCCGUCUUCUAUAUAAGAACGGAUUAGGUCACAUUUUGAGAGGUUGGGGAGAGAGGUCGAGGAAGUUGGGGUUCAAAAAUUAGGGUUCAAAAAGGGGUUUCUUUGGAUUAGGAGAUUUUCUGAGCUAGUUAGGUCAAAAACCAAAAGAGUGCAAAAACUUUCUUUGAUUGAGAAGAAGAGCAGGAGGAAAGCAGAGAAAAGGGUUUGGGGAAGCGGGGGAUUCUUAGCUCUUUAUAGAUAAUUUUCCUUCUUGUUUCGAAAUUGGGGUAUGUGGAAAAUGGUGGUUUCAAACCUUUCUCUGAGAAAUUUAGGAGUUUGAAAAUUGAGGGUAAGAAUAGAAGAAGGAAAGAAUUUUUUGAUUAAAGAUUCAAUCUGUGCCUAUUAGGAAUUCUGUUCCCAAAAAAUUGGUUUGCCAAUAAAGUUCUGAAGCCAAUUACGAUACUUUUUCGGUGGUAGCAAAUCCAGAAUAAGCUCGAGUUUCGUUUUGCUGCUCCCUUGAGGGUAAUACCCUUUUCCAUUUAAGAUUUAUCUGUUUCUACUUCAUCUUGAUCUUCUAUAGUCGUGAAUAAAUUUUUUAGUAUGAUUGUAUGCUGGGUUAUUUGCUGGUAGAUGGCUUUGAUAGCCGUAGGUAGUUGUUUUGGUAGAUUUUUUAUUUAAUACUCUUAUUUUUUUGUGAAAUUCUUAAGGUUUGUAUAGCUGACUUUAUGUUAAAGUUUCAUGUUCUGCGAUUCUGUUUGAGUUGCUGGUAUUUUGUUAAGGCUGGUUUUGUUAUUUAAAGUUUCAUGCUUUUGAUUUUGGUUUGAGUUACUGGUAUCCUGUUAAGGCUAGUUUCGUGGCUAAAGUUUGAUUCUGUUUGGUCAUUUCAGACUGCUGGUAUGUUAUCAUGGUUGGCUUCAGGGUUUAAAGUUGCGUACUUUGAUCGUUUUGGGUCGAUGGCGCCCUAUUCUAGCUCAUCUUAUUUUAAAGUUUCGGGUUUUAUUCUUAUUUUGAUAGUUUUUAGGUCGAGGGUGUUUUGUUCAUUGUUGGUAUUUAACGCCAUCUUAUUUGUUGAGACUUCCCCAUGAGUUCUUUGGCUUCCCAAAUGACAAAAAAUGACGAGGAUACGCUCGACACAAACUGACAAAUCCCAUGAUCCCUCGAUGACCAUUUUGGCUAUUAGAACUCGUUUGAGUUUGACAAAAGAGAAUGAGGAUGAUAGUAGUGCCCCGCCACUUUCCUUUUAGCUUUAUCUGCCAUGUCUUUUUUUGUUUGGAUUCGAAUCUUUUAUCUUUCCUUGUCUCUUGAGCUUGUUGCCAAUACAUGAUCGGGUUAGGGAGAUGAAUGCAAUAAUGGGGUAUUUUAGUAUGUUUAUUUAGAAGGAAUGGCCUUAUUUUGUUCUCCUCAUAGAAAUGGAGCAUCACUGUUGUAUGUCUCUUUGAAUACCUACUAUCAAUGGAACUUGGAUUUAUAGGUCAAUUUCACUUCUUUUAUGUGUUUCAAUCAGUCUCUUGACUAGAUAUGGGGUUACGUUUAGGUAUGAAGUUCUCAAAACAGCUUGCAAACAGUUUUCUCCUGUCCCAUACAAUAUGAGAGUAUCAUAGAGUGUGGUAUAGAUUGGUUUAUUUGAAGCACAUGACUGCAUUUCGAUUUUAGUGUUAGAAAUUAAUAGUGUUCUUGAUUUAAGUGAGACCCUCUUUGCUUUUGUUGAUUGGAUUGUCCUGUAUACUGUACAACAUACAAGAAAAGAGGUGAAACGAACUUAUCUUGGUUCAUCCAUAGCAUAAAUUUAAGUAUCUAUUUUUGGGAAUUAUCUUCAGCUCUUCAUUUUUGUAUUCCAGUUGAGUGUUUUGAUAGCCAACUGAUAAAAUUUUCUUAGUUUCUGUGUAUUCCUUCUCAUAAGUAAGCACCGGAACCUAUCGUUUUGUCAAAAGGAAUGGACUGCGAUUUACUAUUAAUGUACGGUCCUUUAACAAAUGUUAUAGCAUCCCUCUACUGCAACAAACAAAACCAACAUUACGUCAUAUGCUCUCAUCCAAUGGUCAUUACAUGCGAUUAGAAAAAGUGACUGUUUACUAGAAUUCUUUCAUGCAUAUGCAUACUUUCAUGCCAAAGUCCAGCAUAAUAUGGCGUGUUCUCUUUGAUCUUUAUGUUAAAUGUUCAAAACCAAUUAAACACAGUUGCAUGUCGUAUAUAUCACUAAUCUAGUAGCUAAGUUUCCUUUUAUGUAUCGAAGUAGUGAUUUUUUUUAAUAGCUUUGAACUUUCUGAAUUUUUUUGUUAUAAAAGUAAUUCAUUUUUAUGAACGCGUAUUAAUUCAUAUAUCUUUUCUUUGCAUGCACCCUCCUUGGAGUCCAAAUGGGCUUCUUCUCUCUUUGUAUUUCAUAAAUAG